GAUGAACGCUGGCGGCGUGCCUAAUACAUGCAAGUCGAGCGAACAGACGAGGAGCUUGCUCCUCUGACGUUAGCGGCGGACGGGUGAGUAACACGUGGAUAACCUACCUAUAAGACUGGGAUAACUUCGGGAAACCGGAGCUAAUACCGGAUAAUAUAUUGAACCGCAUGGUUCAAUAGUGAAAGACGGUUUUGCUGUCACUUAUAGAUGGAUCCGCGCCGCAUUAGCUAGUUGGUAAGGUAACGGCUUACCAAGGCGACGAUGCGUAGCCGACCUGAGAGGGUGAACGGCCACACUGGAACUGAGACACGGUCCAGACUCCUACGGGAGGCAGCAGUAGGGAAUCUUCCGCAAUGGGCGAAAGCCUGACGGAGCAACGCCGCGUGAGGGAUGAAGGUCUUCGGAUCGGAAAACUCUUUUAUUAGGGAAGAACAAAUGUGUAAGUAACUAUGCACGUCUUGACGGUACCUAAUCAGAAAGCCACGGCUAACUACGUG
This 497-nucleotide ribosomal RNA is filed under the name uncultured bacterium. RNAcentral describes it as "partial 16S ribosomal RNA". It matches the Rfam family "Bacterial small subunit ribosomal RNA", at positions 28 to 507 of the family's 1533-position model. The record is from RNAcentral.